RNAcentral lists this long non-coding RNA (369 nucleotides) under Carica papaya (papaya). RNAcentral describes it as "long non-coding RNA (CPAP_LNC016675)". Lineage: Eukaryota; Viridiplantae; Streptophyta; Magnoliopsida; Brassicales; Caricaceae. The record is from RNAcentral.
CAUGGAGACAUGAAAAACAUCGUGUAGACCCAUAAACUCUCAGGGUAGAGCAAGGUGGUACGCCAUGGGUCCAACACAUUCCACAAUUUGAAAAGAUCCCGCAUAAAAGGGGCUCAACUUUCCCUUCUUACUGAAUCAUAUUGUUUCCUAGUAAGGGAAGAUCUUAAGGAAGACUUGAUCACCAACUGUAAAUUCUAAAGAUCCUCUAUAGUUGUCAGCAUAGCUUUUCUGGGUACUCUGGGUAAUGGCUAAGUUCCUUUGAAUGAUAGCAACUUUUUUGAUAGUCUCCUGGUUGAAAUCAGGUCCCAAAUGAUGCUAGUUCCCGACUUCGUUCCAACAAGUGGGAUAACGAUAGGGCCUAUUGUAUAG